RNAcentral lists this small nuclear RNA (306 nucleotides) under Chinchilla lanigera (long-tailed chinchilla). RNAcentral's name for it is "7SK RNA (ENSCLAG00000021836.1)". It matches the Rfam family "7SK RNA", at positions 1 to 292 of the family's 331-position model. From Rfam's summary of the family: 7SK was discovered as an abundant small nuclear RNA in the mid-70s but a possible function has only recently been suggested. Two independent studies have found that 7SK RNA binds the CDK9/cyclin T complex (known as elongation factor P-TEFb). P-TEFb activates transcription by phosphorylating the C-terminal domain of RNA polymerase II. Lineage: Eukaryota; Metazoa; Chordata; Mammalia; Rodentia; Chinchillidae. The record is from RNAcentral.
GGAUGGGAGGGCGAUCUGGCUUCGAGAUCUGUCACCCCAUUGAUCACCAAGGUUGUUUCAGCUGAUCUGGCAGGCUGGGCAGGUGUCUCUGUCCUCCCUCGUUGGCUGGUGUGCACCGUCCAGAAGCCGCAUGCCUAGUUGAAGAGGAGGACCACCUCUGAGAGAGGAGCACUGUUUCCUCAGUCAAGGGUAUAUGAGUAGCUGUACUCCCCUAAAAGAACCUCCAAAAAAGCUCUCACGAAAUGAACUGAGAAACCAUAGCCCUAAGGAGAGAAGGAGGGAGGGACGGAGACAGAGACAGAGACA